AUGCUCGACUUCGACUCCGAAGACAUCGACGGUAUGGACGACGAUGCAGGAGAUGAACAGGAACCACUGCCCACAGGGCACCGGACACCCACUUCAUCAUAUGAUGUAUACAUGGUGGACACACCCAACGAAAACGAAGACGAGGAACGGAAGGACGCGGCGAAGGAUCGUUCCCUCGAGAAGCAGUCAAAGCGGCGGCGUAAGCACCGCUCCAAAUCCCGCCUCGGCAGAAACAACAGUCAUACAAACCCAGCGAUAGAGCAGGGUGAGCCAGUGGACGACGAACAUGGCAUGGAACUGCCGUCCGACCACGGCAACUCGGAGAAUCAAACCAAACAACCCGUCUUCGGCAAAGAUAACAGUCCGGAUGACAUCACAUCGGACGAGCACCUGGAGCAACAGAAUCUCCAUCAAAGGCUUUUUGCCACUGCGCGGAGUCUGAAAAAGCAGAAGCGAAAGCUCAGGGCUGCACAAGAUACACUCAGAAUUAGAUGGAGUAAAGUACUCAACACCGUAGAAAAGUACGGCGACAGUCGCCACACAAAGAGCUACCCGAAGCGAAAGCUGCUGCCUGAAUUUGAUGAUGAGGCUUAG
This 594-nucleotide ribosomal RNA is filed under the name Triticum aestivum (bread wheat). RNAcentral describes it as "partial small subunit ribosomal RNA". Lineage: Eukaryota; Viridiplantae; Streptophyta; Magnoliopsida; Poales; Poaceae. The record is from RNAcentral.